CUUUAUGAUUCCUCCACAGAGUGAAGAUCUCAGAGCUCCCUAGUGGUCAGAAUACCCAACAUCAAACAUCCAUAUUUAUGACACAAUUACGCCUUUCGCUCUGAGCCGUGCACAAACGUGGAGAUGAAACUUCGACCUCAUAAGAUUGGAAUAUUUGUGGACUAUGAGAAAGGAGAGGUAUCUUUUUACAACGUCGAUUCCAAAGUCCACAUUUACUCUUUCCACGACAUCUUCACUGAAAACCUCUUCCCCUUCUUCAGCCCCUGCACCAACAAAUCAGGAAAAAACGAAAUGCCCCUGAUCAUCAGUCCAGUAAA
Molecule: long non-coding RNA, 317 nt
Organism: Poeciliopsis prolifica (blackstripe livebearer)
Lineage: Eukaryota; Metazoa; Chordata; Actinopteri; Cyprinodontiformes; Poeciliidae
Exons: 3
Source: RefSeq, a predicted model, not a curated record